UGUUGAUACUGUGUACAAUGCUCUUCUGGUUCUCAUAUCACUCAUCAUCAGUUCAUGUGCUGGAGAAACAACGAACAAUUAUUUCCCUUCAAGUUGUUUGCAAGAGGCACAAAGAUAAUAAUUUGAGGAGGGAGAAGACACCAACACUUGCAGAGGGAAGAUCACCAAAUGCUUCAGACAGUGGACCCACCACAUUUGGACUCUAACAUUAGAGAUGUGCUUAUGGUGGAAGUAGACAUGGCACUAAAGAUAAUGAAGAUGGAAAAAUAGACAAAUUGGACAAAGUGUAUAUAGAAGAGAUCUGUGCUGAAGGUGACAUCUUUGGAAGGGUAUUGAAGGACCAAUACACAGAGUAUCUGAAGAAAGGGAAGAUACCAAAGGCAUGGAAAAAUCUUGGACCUUAUUAAUAGUGGAAAAAAGUCCCGGCAUGAAAACAGCUGAUCCAGGGAGCCAGCCUCACCUCCUACUUCCUGUCUCCCUCCCUGGAAGGGGAGGUACUUCAAGCUGAUUGGUUGAGGGCAGUCUCCUGUUGAUGUCAUAG
Long non-coding RNA from Dromiciops gliroides (monito del monte), 541 nucleotides. RefSeq lists it as uncharacterized. The record is from RefSeq and is a predicted model, not a curated record. Lineage: Eukaryota; Metazoa; Chordata; Mammalia; Microbiotheria; Microbiotheriidae. The transcript is spliced from 4 exons.